AAGUUUCUUUCUUUGUUACUAUUUUUAACAAAGAGAGAAGUGAAGAGCAAGUCUCCUUCUUAUAAGGAAUCAACCAAAAAAAAAAAAAACUCAUUGUAUCAAGGAAGAAAAUCUACAUCUAAGAGAAAUACCUCGACCUGAGCUGGAACAAUUUUUCUUACACCAAAAUUCCUGAAUUCCUAGGUUCACUCUCUAUUAAUUUGGUCUAUCUUAACCUUUCCAAUGCAUGCUUCGCCGGGAAUGUCCCACUUCACCUAGGGAACCUCUCCUAUCUGCAGUACCUUGAUCUCAAUAACUUUCUUCUGUAUUUCGGCCGUAGCGCUGGUUACUUAAACGGUGGAUAAACUUGAAUCGAUAUCGAGUAUUCCUGCUUUGAAACACCUCGACUUGUCCGGCGUCGUUGUUCGGGAUGCCCAAGGUUGGUUGCGGUCAAUAUCCAUGCUUACUUCUCGUCGAUUCUUGGGAUUAGCAGACUGUUUGCUGCCAAACACUGACCCAAGCCUUGCAUGUCAACUUCACUUCUCUUGAGUUUCUUGAUCUGAGGGAUAAUACUUUAGGCUCUGUGAUUCCAAAUUGGUAGCUCAAUCUAAGCUCCAUCAGUCAUGUGGAUCUUUCUUCUAGUUUUGAUGGAGCCGUCUCCUUUCCCGCUGAGAUUAUCGAUAAUAACAAACAGCUUGCCUUCCUUGAUCUUGGAUUCAAUUCCAUGGGAGGUGAACUGCCAAAGAAUAUCAGCAAUCUCUGCCACUAGUUUGCAUUGAGAUUGGCCUUCAACAGCUUCAACGGAGAUAUAUUUCUGCCGUAUUAGGUAUUCCUUGCUGCUUCCAGCAUAAAUUGAGAUAUUUAGAUCUCGGCUUGAAUAAAAUCCCUGGUCAUUUGGGGUAUGAAAUCAGGCAUUUUAAGAAUCUAGAGCAUAUCAACCUUAUAGUUCGAACUUGCUCGAGGGUCCAAUUCCAGAGUCGGGCAUAAUAGAUUCACAGGUCGCAUUUUAGAAAGAAUCGGGUAAUUGUCGAAUCUAAUCAUCUUAAACUUGGACGACAAUCUCUUGAAAGGAGUGGCGAGUGAACUUCACUUGGCUAAUCUCAUGAGCUUGACUGUGUUGGACAUUUCAUCAAAUGAGUUGGCAGUCGAAUUAAUCGGUCCUCGCCCUCAACAACUUACCUCGAGCCGGUCUCUCAUCUCUUCCGAACUUGGGCCUUAACUACUUCGAGGUGGGAUUCUUCUUCCACACUCGAGCGAGGGGAUCAAAUAGUACGGGCCGGGCUUUUACUUUCGGACUCGGACUUCAUUGGCGUGGUGUGAGCUCUUGUGCAGACGUGCCCGGGGAUCAUUACCAUGGGACUCUGAUACCAUCUUAAAUUUUACCGGGCUUACAUGGGUUUGAACUCAACUUUCAACUCAAAAGUUUGAGCUAAUAAGUUGCGAGACUCAAUCCUAUAUAAACCAUCAUAUUUUCUUUUAUGUUUCCGAUGUGAGAUUAACUUUUCUCAAUUGACUUUUAUAUUUCCAAUAGACCGCCUGGAACACUUGCUCACUGUUGGAAAAGCUUACGGCAACUAAAAGCAUUAAACUUGGGAAACAACCAAUUCAACGGCCAGAUUCCAGCAUCCAUGUGCUACCUAGAGCAGCUCUCUUUUCUUGGGCUACACAGCAAUAACUUUAAUGGGAAUCUUCCCGAAUGCUUAAGCAGUAUGACUUCUCUGGCAGUGCUUGAUCUGAGCCGAAAUAGAAUUCGCUGGUCAGAUACCCUCCCGGAUUACUCUGAUAGAUAAGCUCAGUGCGUUGAAUCUUGAGUCGAAUUUCUUCAGCAGAGAAAUUCCAACAGGUAUAUGCAAAGUGGCACAACGUCCAUGUGUUUUAAUCAUGAUCAGCCUGUUACUCACGAACAACAUGGUCAUGAUUCAGAAGGUGAAGAUGAGUUUGAUAUUCUUUGGUUUUAUGCGGGCUUUGCACCAGGUUUCGCCAUGGGAAUUAUAGGGGUUUGUAGCUCUUUAUCCUGGAUCCCCUCAUGGAGGCAGUCCUUCAUUCUUUGGUCGGACGGAAUUCUCACCAAACUGCUAGUGAUUCGAAAAUAAGCUUAGCUCAAAGAUCUCGACUUGAUAAGCUUCUGCCCGCUUUUCUCCUGUGAAAUCGUCACCAAUUUCUGACCAUAAGAUUUUCGCAAUGCUAUUGCAGGUGAAAAUUGCCUGCUCUUGAGAUCAGAAGCAAGCAGUAUAGCUAUAUGUACAAGGUAAACAGAGAUAAAAUGAAGCUCUGUCAUGAGAAGAAUCGGGCAAUGGCUGUUGCAUCCAUCGUGGCUUGGAGUUAUGGCUGGCGAGUGAUGAGCUUUUUCUUCUUUGGGAUUUCUGUUGCUGAGUUAUUUGCGUUGAUGCUGUUGUUGAUCUUUUGUCGGGAGUGAGGCUAAUGAGCUUCGUAAAAAGCAGACCUACUUAUAGUCUGGUCUGGUGCUGCUUUCUGCUUGUUGUCUAAUAAUAUCGACUACUAGUAUCAGUUGGCAAAAAUUACCCGAGGCAUGCCAUUUUCUGAGCGCUACGAUCACUUCGCACACGAAAAACUUCCUCGAGUCGAUACGGAAAAAUGUCAUGGAAAACAGUCUUUUUGACUUGCGGCAGCCCAUCUCUAUCAGCCUCACUGGGAUAUUUAGCCCUGGUUACUCGGAGAAACUCGCGUUUCAUAGUGCAAAAGAAAAAGAAACUCAAUAAGUUUGUACUUCAGACACACACUAUAUCAUAGCGAAUAUUUCUCUGUUUUCCCGAUUGAAA
Punica granatum (pomegranate) is the source of this 2759-nucleotide non-coding RNA. The record is from RefSeq and is a predicted model, not a curated record. Lineage: Eukaryota; Viridiplantae; Streptophyta; Magnoliopsida; Myrtales; Lythraceae.